AGGGCAGUAGUUUUAAUUGGCAAAACGUUGCGCUCCAAACGCAAAAUUGGGAGUUCGAGUCUCUCCUGCCCUGCCA
RNAcentral lists this transfer RNA (76 nucleotides) under Gammaproteobacteria bacterium. RNAcentral's name for it is "tRNA-Trp". It matches the Rfam family "tRNA". Rfam says of the family: Transfer RNA (tRNA) molecules are approximately 80 nucleotides in length. Their secondary structure includes four short double-helical elements and three loops (D, anti-codon, and T loops). RNAcentral also lists the same sequence under 1 other name. The record is from RNAcentral. Lineage: Bacteria; Pseudomonadati; Pseudomonadota; Gammaproteobacteria.